GGUCUGGUUUCUAAGUCAGAACUAGUCUGACCCCAGACUCAGCCUAGUUUCUAAAUCAAAACCAGUCUGACCCUGGACCCCGUCCAGUUUUUAAGUCGGAACCAGUCUGACCCUGGACCCAGUCCUACUCUGGCAAGUUUCUGGACCCAGUCUGGCAAAAGAAUCCUCAAAUAAAGUCUUAAAGCUCGUCAUGAAAGACUAUAGAGCUAAGAACCGACAGGGACUUAACCAUGACCUCCAGAAGCAGCAAGAAAGCAGCCAGAUCACGGGACUCAGCAGGUGAGGGUGUAAUGAGAAGGUGGCUGCUACAACCAGGAAGAGGGUCCUCACCACAACCCGACCAUGGUGGUAUCCUGAUCUCAGACUUCCAGUCUCCAAAACGUCCAGGUUUUCCAGAAAGCAGACCUGAGGCAAGACUCCUGUGCUCGACUUUGUCAGUGAGUGCGACCACAGGAGCCAGAGAAAAGGACAGAGAGAGUCCAGCGGGGAAGGAGAGGAACCGGGGGCAAAGACGCCUUAGCGAGCUGGCUGCCUCCAAGUGUGACUGAGGCUCAGCCCCGCCAAACCGCCCAGACGUGCCUCACGCUCUCCCCUGGCUCCAGGACUCAGAUGCUUUUCUGCACAACUUCUGGAAGCUUUUGAAUCCUUUCACAAACAAAACUCCACACCUCCCUCCGAGCUGACUCAUGAACUUCCUGCAUUCCGGCUAUAAACUCUCCUGUAUGUGUGUCACGCUGCAUACGUGAAAGAGAUGCCCUAGAGUAGUGGCUUUCAAACUUUAGUGUGCAUUUGAAUGGCCUGGAGCACCUACAAAAAUCCCCAAGCUCCAUCUCCAAGGAUUCUAAGAAUCCUUCUGAGGUCGAGUCCAGGAAUCUACAUCUCUACAACCUCCCUGAUGAUCCUGAAGCACGUGGUCCACUGACUUUCCCUUUGAGAACCACUGACUAGUGUACAUGUCUAGGAGGAGAAUGCCAGAUCCUAGGUCAUACACAUCUUUAACUUUACUUUGAAAUUCAAAAUUGUCUUUGAAAGUGGUUAUGCCACUGAUACUCCCACCAAAAGAGUGGAAGAGUUUCCAUUGUUUCACAUCCUUGCCAAUAUCUCAGAAAUUUUUCUGUUUGCUAAUUCUGUGGGUAUUAACUCGAAUUUCCUUGUGAUUUUCAUUUGAAUUUCUAAUUAUUCAUGAGAUUGGGCAUCUGUUCAUAUUAUUUCAUUGUUGUGUCCUCUUUACCAAAGUACUGUUCAAAACUUUUUCCUGGUUUUCUAUUGUUAGUAGUUUCUUAUUGAUUUGUAGGGGAAAUUUCUCCUGUUGGUCAGAGAGAUGAUGAAAAAGAAUGCAGAAGAGAUGAGAUGUGAGAAGGACUUCACCACCAUUGCCGGCUUUGAAGAUGAAGGGGUCCAUGAGCCAAAGAAUGUGGGAUGGCCUCUAGAAGCUGAGAACAACAUGAGGCCAACAGCCAGCAAGGAGACUUCAGCUGGAGACUUCAGCACUACAACUGCAUGGAACUAAGUUCUGCCAACAACCUGCAUGCAGCAGGGAGCAUCCGCUCCCCCAGGGCCGUCAGUAAGGAAAGCUGUCCUGGCACCUUGGUUCUAGCCUGGUAAGACCCGUAUGUACUUCUGACCUAUAAAACUGUAAGAUGAUAAAUUUGUGUUGUUUUAAGCUGUUAAAUUUGUGGUCAUGUGUUAUGACAGCAAUAGAAAACUAAUACAAAAGUAUGUGUGCUUUCCAGUUGUGUGCAGUGUUUUAUAUUUAUCCAUUAGAUGAAGUUUGUUAAUUAUGUUUAGAUCAACUGUAUCCUUACUCAUUAUCUGUCUUAUGAAUAAUUGUGAAAGAUAAAGGUGGAUUUUUUUCAGUUUCUCUUUAUAGAUCUGUUAAUUUUUGCUUUAUGUGUUUUGAAGCCAUGUUAAGUAUUAGUCAUUAAGAAUUGUUAUAGUGAUAAUUGUCAUAUUUGUAACCCACUCUGAAAAUCUUUGUCAUUUAAAAGCGUAGUUUAGUUUGUUAAAUUCAUUGAAGUUAGUGAGACAUUUGGAUUCCUCUAUGCUCCCUUAGUUUGUGGUUUUCAUUUGUCCUUCCUGUUCUACUUCUCUUUUUUCUCCUUUCUUGCCUUUUUUUAGGUUUGAUCAUAUUUCUCUUUCCCUCAUUCUCUUUUUACUCUCUCCAAAGUCGUGAGUUUUAUACUCUAUUGCUAUACUUUUACUGACUACCUUAAACAUUUUAAUAUAAGUAAUUAAUGUUUUUAAAUACAAAGUUAAUAUUUCUUCUUAAAACAAUAAAAGGAACUUAGACCAUUUUAAUUCUGAUCACCCCAUGCUAACUUCUUUGCUAUUUUCUUUCAAUAUUUUAGUUAUAUCUCAUUUUCAUCAAUCCCACAAAUUAGACAAUUAUUGUUUUAUAAAGUGAAUUUUCACUUAGUUCUACAUACAUAUUUAUCAAGUUCUGUGCUUAUGUUUUAUCCUUGAAUAUUAAAUUUUCAUUUGGGAUCAUUUUUCUUCUGCCUGAAGAAUAUCACUUAGAAUUUCCUUUCAUGUUGGUAUUUUGACAGAAAACUCUGUUUUU
Molecule: long non-coding RNA, 2560 nt
Organism: Equus asinus (donkey)
Lineage: Eukaryota; Metazoa; Chordata; Mammalia; Perissodactyla; Equidae
Source: Ensembl